Molecule: ribosomal RNA, 497 nt
Filed under: uncultured bacterium
Lineage: Bacteria
Description: partial 16S ribosomal RNA
Rfam family: Bacterial small subunit ribosomal RNA
Source: RNAcentral
GAUGAACGCUGGCGGCGUGCCUAAUACAUGCAAGUCGAGCGAACGGACGAGAAGCUUGCUUCUCUGAUGUUAGCGGCGGACGGGUGAGUAACACGUGGAUAACCUACCUAUAAGACUGGGAUAACUUCGGGAAACCGGAGCUAAUACCGGAUAAUAUUUUGAACCGCAUGGUUCAAAAGUGAAAGACGGUCUUGCUGUCACUUAUAGAUGGAUCCGCGCUGCAUUAGCUAGUUGGUAAGGUAACGGCUUACCAAGGCAACGAUGCAUAGCCGACCUGAGAGGGUGAUCGGCCACACUGGAACUGAGACACGGUCCAGACUCCUACGGGAGGCAGCAGAAGGGAAUUUUCCGCAAUGGGCGAAAGCCUGACGGAGCAACGCCGCGUGAGUGAUGAAGGUCUUCGGAUCGUAAAACUCUGUUAUUAGGGAAGAACAUAUGUGUAAGUAACUGUGCACAUCUUGACGGUACCUAAUCAGAAAGCCACGGCUAACUACGUG